GGCUUUCUUCCCCAUUCUCCAUUCAUUCAUGCCAAAUAAAAAAAAUCUCAAACCAUUUCGUUAACAUACAACCAGUAAUAAGUCAAAAGCUAAACUUAACCGAAAUCAGCAUGUAUUGACAUUAUAUUAAUGUAUAAACAGAGAGAGUUAACAAAAUAAAGCACCCAAAUAUCAACAUUUUCUUUCAUGUUGCAUAAUUCUCUCCACUGCCAUCCUAGCAAAAACCCACCAUAUAACAACACUGAUUUUGAUUUUCGAUUUUUGUAAACAAGAAAAACAGAAACACUUCAUUCAAACCCAACCACCAUAAGAUUGUGCGACUCGUAAGUCAAAGAAACAUAAUCCUUCAUCGCGCGAGUCACCAUCAACAAAGCAAAAAGAGCCAAAAGAAAAAAAAAACAAAAGCAAACACCUAAAUAAUGACACUAAAAAAAAGUUUUUUUUUUUUUUAACUUAAAAGACCAAGUCAAUUGCUUGGAUUAGGACAGUCCCUAGCGAAGUGACCUGAUUCACCACAGCUAUAACAAUUUCCCCCGCCGCCGGUGCCGCCUCCGCCUCCGCCUCCAUACCUCCCGCCGCCGCCGCUGCCCUGGCUACACUCCCUAGCAAUAUGCCCACUUUGCCCACAGUUGUAACACCCACCGCCGCCGCCGCCGUACCCACCUCCUCCAUAUCCGCCGCCGCCGCCAUAUCCACCUCCUCCACCGUACCCACCGCCGCCAUAACCACCGCCACCUCUCCCUCCCCUAGAACCACCUCCUCCUCGACCACCGCCGCCUCUUCCGCCUCCGCCACCGCCUCCACGGGGGCCACCCUGAACUGGGUUUCCGUUGGGACCGGUGACGUCAGCGGCCUUUGUGCGGGAGCCGUCAGAUUCGAUCACGAACUCAACCUCUUCGCCUUCGCCGAGGCUGCGGAAGCCCUCGACGCGGAUCGACGACUGGUGGACGAACACGUCCUCGCCACCGUCAUCUGGGGUGAUGAAGCCGAACCCCUUUUGGUCGCUGAACCACUUGACCUUGCCUGUAACUCGUUCGGAACUCAUGUCUGAUAACGAAAAGAAAAACCCUAACCCUAGAGAACCAAGAAUGAGAGAAAAGAGGCUUUGUGAGAAUUAUUGAAGAGGUGGGACUGCAGGGUAGUAGUUAUAUAUAUUCAUUGAAGCUAGGGAACAGUGUGUGUUUGUCGCUGAGGAUAAUUAUGUAAUUGACAAUUGGAAAAAAACUCAUACACCUUUAUUUUUUGAUUUUUUCCCCUUAUCUUCCAUAACUUUCGCAAUAUCUCAAUAUCCUCUACGAAAAUUUUUAACCAAAAUAGCUUUCUUUCUUUUUUUCAUAGCGGGCAUUUUUUUUUUAAUUUUUUUAUACUGAGAAAGUAAGAGUAUUUUCAAAAAAUUCUAUUAAUUUUACUAUUUAAAUAUUUAUUUUACUUACCUAUGUGGUAAAAAAGAUAGUGAAAAAAUAUAUUAUUUUUCAAAAGACUCUUCAAAUAGAAAUAAGUUAAUAUUAUUUUAAUCAAAUAAAUUUUUUUCAAAGAAAAAAUAAAUGAUAAUUAAAAUACUUCUCACUCUCCAACAAAAAAUAACAAGAUAUAAAUUGUUAGGAAAUUGAGUUUCUUCCCAAGAUCUCUCCAAGCAAUUUAUCAAGCAACAAAUUAAUAAGAAAAAUUAAAUGGAGAAUAUACCAAUCACACAACACAAGAUUUACGUGGAAAACUCCAAAUCCGGAGAAAAACCACGGCCGUUGUCACAAGACAACCAGAGAAAAAUAUUCACUAUGUGGUAAAUUAUUACAACCACUCUCAGAAAUAAUUUUCUCUCACCCAAACCCCAAAUACAUAAUCUUGAGAAAUACCCCUUAACAAAGCAAACUCGUAAUACCCAUAUUGAGGAGCCAAAUGCUCCUUCAAUAUAACUACAUGCUUAAGAAUAUUUCUCUUUCUCAAUUUCUCACCAAAACUUGGAUUCCUUCUCUGGGAUUUUGGAUACAAACAAUAAGGAGGAGCACUCCUCUAUUUAUAGCCACCAGUGACUACUGUUCAUCUUGCGGUUACUGUUCAUCUUGCGGCUACUGUUCAUUUUGCGGCUACUGUUUAUUUUACGGCUUUUCUUUUCUUCAUUCUCCCACUUGGAGAUUUGAUUGAUAAUCAAUCAAUCUCCACACCACCCUUGUUGUCUUCACCUUUAGUCAUAAUUCUCAACAUAGAGAAUUAUCAUACUCCACCAUAAAGAGUAUACCACUUAGAAUUAAUUACCAAUUUUAAGAAUUUUUUUUUUUCCCGGCACAUGUCGAACAUAUUCGCUGAAAAUUAUGGUGCAAUUCUCAUGCUUGGUUUCCCUGAGAAUUUUUCAGCCAUGACAUAACUUUUCCACCACACACCUUGCAUUUAUACUAAGCCAAUGCCCGCAUGCAAACUUGUGGACCCCACUGAUCAUACCAUGUUCUCUUUCAUGGCAACUUGGAGAUCUACAUGCCAAAAGAACUAACCCAGUCUCCUAUCAAAAGGAAACUCACCAUCUGCGAGAAUAUCAGUGUCUCCUUUACUGAUUCUGGAGUAAUUUGCCGAGCCCACUCCGCUUUCUUGACAAUUUUCUUGAGGUGCCAAAAUUGUCCACACCUUCAAAUCUUUGUGCAUACCAGAUUGGAUACACCUUUGACUUGAAUUCUCCACAAGCCAAUAAAAUCAUUCUCCCAUUAAUUUUUCAACAACAUCAAACUUCAACCAAGUUUGAAAAACACCAGCUGCUGACAUAUUUGCUUCAUAUUCUCUUCACCACAGAUUAUUUGGAUUGGCUCCCACUGCUUCACGUGAACAGUACCGUAUACGUGAAUAGUACCCCGACACCAAAACUUCAAUCAAUGGCUCUGAUACCACUGUUAGGAAAUUGAGUUUCUUCCCAAGAUCUCUCCAAGCAAUUUAUCAAGCAACAAAUUAAUAAGAAAAAUUAAAUGGAGAAUAUACCAAUCGCACAACAUAAGAUUUACGUGGAAAACUCCAAAUCCGGAGAAAAACCACGGCCGUUGUCACAAGACAACCAGAGAAAAAUAUUCACUAUGUGGUAAAUUAUUACAACCACUCUCAGAAAUAAUUUUCUCUCACCCAAACCCCAAAUACAUAAUCUUGAGAAAUACCCCUUAACAAAGCAAACUCGUAAUACCCAUAUUGAGGAGCCAAAUGCUCCUUCAAUAUAACUACAUGCUUAAGAAUAUUUCUCUUUCUCAAUUUCUCACCAAAACUUGGAUUCCUUCUCUGGGAUUUUGGAUACAAACAAUAAGGAGGAGCACUCCUCUAUUUAUAGCCACCAGUGACUACUGUUCAUCUUGCGGUUACUGUUCAUCUUGCGGCUACUGUUCAUUUUGCGGCUACUGUUUAUUUUACGGCUUUUCUUUUCUUCAUAAAUUGAAGAGAAAUAAAGUAACUCUACAAAAUUGAAGAGAGAUAAUUAUUUUUUAUUUGAAAAAUAUUAAUUAAAGUAUCUUUUAAAGUCUUAAAUAUUAAUGUGACUUUUUAAAUAAGUAAUAAAAUCUUAUUUGAAGAGCCUUUUGGAGAUGCUCUAAUAGAUACUAUAAAAAUCUAUGGGGAUAAAGUAGUAAAAGUAUAUGAUAUAAAGUGGUAAAAAAAAAGUGAUAACAUUUUAAUUUACAAGGGGAUAGGAAUAUUUCCACCCCACUAUUUUUGUAAAUCCACCACAGUUUAAAAAACAAUUACAAUGAGUUCACAAUAUUUUUAAAAAAUACAAAUUAAUAAAAAAUUUAUACAAUUAAUCAAUUAAAUCCUUCUAUAAUUUUUUUUCUUAAGUUCUUUUAUCAUAUUUGAUCAUAAAUUUUAAUACAAAUUUUAUUUUAAUAUUUAUUAUUAUGAUAUAAAGAGAUAAAAUUACCCUAAAAAAACAUGAGUAUUAAUUUUGGUAUUUAAUUAAAAUGACUAUCUAAUAAUUUCGGUAUUUAAUUUUGUGACUUAUAAUCUAGUAUUUCUAAAUGAAAUCUAAUUAUUAUUUCACUGUCCUUACGUGUAAAUAACAUAAAUUUGACAGUCUAAUAAUUUAUAUGAGAAUUGUGCCAUAAAGACACUAUGUUAAUUUAAUUAAAAAAUAAUAUUCAUACUAAUAAAGUAGUAUUAGAAAUAAUAAGUUUGGUACAAAUUAGAAAAAUAUUAAAGUUAACAUAAAUUCUUGAUAAUUUUACUUUAUAAGAGUAAAAUAAUCAAUUUAAACUUAUGUCAAAGCAAUCUUUGUAAUCAAAUAUACUAAAAAAAUCUAAGUCACAAAAAAGUGAAUUAAGAUAUAUUUAAUUAAUUAAUUCUCCAAAGUUUUUCUUGAUAUGAAAAUUUUAAAAAUAAUGUGACACUUUAAUAAUUAUAUUUUAAAAAUGGGAUGGAUUUGCAAAAAAUGUGGGGUGGAGAUAUCAUUACUUUUUACAAGAUAACAAAUGUUCUAAUCUCUUAAAUUUAUUUUAAUGAAUAGUUAGACCUCCAUUAUUUCAAAAAUUGGUAUCAAAACUCUCUUUUAUUAGUAAAUUUCAUCUAUAAGGAUAUUAAUGUUCUAUAAUCUUCAUGAAGAUGAAUAUAUUAUGAUUUUUUUUUAUAAACGAAAUUCAGUAACUAUUACUAUUUAAUAGUGUAUAGCUGUGUUUAAAACAAAAAUGUUGACUUAUUGUUUAUUUUUAAAACUAAUGGAGGUGAUUAUCUAUUAGGACAAACUUUAAGGGCCUGAGUGUUAUUUCAAUUUAUUGAUUAUUACUUUGCUUCCAGGAUAAUUUUUUUUUUUCCAGGAUAAUAUCUAAGAGACGGGAUAGUGUUUUUACUGUGUGAUCUGACGGAUGGGUGUUUUGAUGGAGGUGAAAUGGGCCGUUGGAUCCAUGAGUGGGGACUACAAGGCGUGUUUGGCGUGAUAACGAAAAGACGUUUUUGCAGUGGUUUAUGAUUUUUGACUAAAACGAGCGAAAAGUACUUUUGCGAGAACAUAAACAAAAAGUAAAUUUUUUUUUUCAAUAACUAAUUAAUAGACUAUUUGUUAGCAAGCAUUUUUCAGGUAAGAUAUUAGUAUUGAGGUGCUUUUGAUGUGUUUUUCACUUUAGUAAAUUUAAAACAACAUAUAAAAGUUGUGUAGGAUUCUUUUAUUAAAGUUGAAAUAAAUGAUUUUAGAAUUAUAUUUAGUUGUUAGAGUUGGCUUGUUUUAGUAUAUUUUAUAAAUGAAUUCCACAUUAGAUAUCUUUUUUAUUUCAUUUAUAAAUUCAUGCUAAUAAUCAAUGAGAUCUAAUUAGUAAAUUCGUUAUCAUAUAUCCUCUCAUUUACAUUUAAUUAUAAAGAUGGAGAUAAUAACAAUAGGUAUGAAAGGAUGUUUUCGCGAAGCUCUUUAUGACUAUCAUAAUAGUGUUGUGUUUUCAAAAAAAAAAAAAAAUAUUUAAAAAAAAUCAUUUUAAGUAAAUUGACAUAUGAUGUGAUAUCUAUUAAAUAAAUUCACAGAUUUUAAAUUAAUUUAUAAUUUAUUAUACCCCUCGUUCUACAACUAUCCAUAACUCAUUCACGCUUGCAAUGAAUGCAAUGUUCAUCAAUUAUAGAUAAAUUUUGGGAUACGGGACGUUACUUAUUUUAGGAUUAAAUUUCUAAACAAAAUAAAACAAUUCUAAAAGCAUUUAUGGAUGAGAUGCUUAUGGUGGAGCGUUGUCCAUAAAUCCUUCCAAAACCAAACACACCAUUAGUUUCCCCAGGGGGCUUUCUGGUAGAGGUGGUAAAAAUAUCCGCUUGAUCCAGACCCGGAUCGUGCUCAGGCAUUGUGGGUCAGAUAAUGGGUAUGAAGUCAGGUUGGUCUUGGGCAUCACUUGAUAAAUUCAGAACCUAAAUUUUAUUAAAAAAAUUAUAUGAUAUAUAAUAUUUUAAAUAUUUAUAUUUAUUUGACUCAUUUAUUAUACAUAUACUUAAAAUUUAUAUUUUCAUGUCAAAUUUUAUUGAAAUAAAUUUAAAAUUUAUAAAAUUACCAAAAAAUAAAAAAAAUAUACACAUAUAAUAUUAAAAAAUAUAAAAUUUGAAUACCCAAAUUAAAACCCGGCCAAGAUCCGGUCAUUGUAAUACCCGGAUCCAGCCCUGGGGUUUUACCAACCCUACUUUAUGAGAAUGGAGAUGAAUUGGCGAUUUUAUCCUUUCCUUCCGAGGUGGAUAGGUGUUGAAACUUGAAAGAGGACGCCCGUGGGGCCCACUAAAAUAUCCGUUGAAAAGACUGUCCCUUCUGCAAGGUGCUGUUUGUUUCCAAAGUGCUUUUAAACACUGAUUUUUUAUUUUUGGGUAAAAGUGAUUUCCACAAAAUAAAAUAAAAUCAGAAAAGAAAUUGAAAACUGAAAAGUUUGGGAGACUGGUCAAUAAUGGUCAACACUGACGGUCAAAGAAACCAUUAAGCAUGUGCGGGAUGGGACGGCACAGUGCUUCUUAAUUAAUUAUCUUUUAAAUUUUUCUUUUUUUAGGAAAAAAAAACUACAUGACCACUAAUUAUAGGCAUUUGUGUCAUUUUAUUUAAAAAACUAAAAAAUAAAAUAAAAGACCUCACGUUAAAAUACCUCUCUAAAAAUUAAGAGAAAGCCAUUAGCCAUGUGAUUAUUUUUUUCUUUUUUUUUUCCGAUACGAGCCAUGUGAUGAAUUAAAAUCUCUGUUUAUACUUUAAAUAUAACAAUUUUCUUAGAGAUGGGUAAAAGUUUUCAUCACCAAGCCGAACAAAUUGAAAUUUAGAAAUAGUUCAAUUUUAAACCAAUUGAUUCUUAAUUCAGUGUAAUUUUUUUUAAAAAUAAAACCAAAAUAAAAAAAUAAUCUUUUAAAAAGACUGAGAGUCAAUUUGAUUUGAUUCACCGUAGUAAUAAUGGUUCAAGUUAAAUUACUUUAAAACCAAUUUUGAUUUACUCUGAAACAUUUAUCUUUAUAUAUUUAAAAAAAAUGAAUGUAAUUUGUCAACUUCAUUUAUGCUUCGUUUCCUAAACUGGAAUCGGAAUGAGCUGGAAUCGGAAUAGGCAGGAAUGAGAAUGGGCUGAAAUGAGAAUAAGGAAUGGGAAUUAAAAUAAAUAGUUUACUUGAACUAUAGGAAUCGAAAUCGAAAUGAGCUGGAUUGUCAUUAAUGUGUUUACUUUGUCUUAGAAUCGGAAUCGGAAUCGGAAUGAAUUAGAUUGUAACAAAUUACUAAAAAGUACUUAAUGGAUUAUUGUCAUAAUAAUUAUUAACUAAUAUAUUAAUUAAUUGUAAAAAAAUUUAAUUAAUUAUAAUAACUAUAAUAAAAAUUAUUAUAAAAAUAUAUUAACUAAUAAUAUUAAUAUUAAUUACUUAAUUAAAACAAUAUAUUAAUUAUUGUGAUUAUUUAUUCAAAAUUUAUAAUUAUUGUUAAUAAUAAAUUAAUAUAUAAUUAAUAGUAAUAAUUAUAUUAUGUAUUUAUUUAAUAAUACUAAUUUUAUUAAUUAAUUAUAAUAUAUGAAUUAAUUAUAAUAAUUAUUAUAAUAGUAUAUUAAUUAAUUAAUUACAAUAAUAAUAUAUUAAUUAUUAGUAAUAAAUAUAUUAUUUAAUUAAUAAUAAUAUAUGAAUUAAUUAUAAUAAUAUUAUUAUAGUAUAUGAAUUAAUUAUAAUAAUAUUAUUAUAGUAUAUUAAUUAAUUAAUAAUAUUAUUAUUAAUUAUUGUGAUUAUUUAUUCAAGAACUAUAGUUUUUAAUAAUAUAUUUAUUUUAUUGAUAAUAAUAUAUUAAUUAAUUAAUUAUAAAAUAAGAUAAAGUGGGUAUUUUUAAUUUUAAGAAGGAUAAAAUGGUCAAUCUUAGAAAUGAGAGACUCAUUCCCACCUCCCGUGAGAAUUAAUCUCCCAUUCUCCAUUUCCAAAUAGUGAUGGGUCCUAUCAUUUCGAUUCCGAUUCCUACUCUAUAUUUACGAGGUAAACGGCAUCAAUCAUUCCGAUUUUCCAUUUGGACAAGUAAAGGCACUAUUAUAAUAAAGAAUUUUGUAGAUAAGUUGAGAUUACCCAAUUAUCUUUUAAGCCCCUCUAAUAAAAUUUUUAUCUCCAACAGUAUUAAUAAUAUUAAAGCCGUUGGAUCUGAAAGUUUUUACUUGAUUAAUCAAGAAGACAAUUGAUUUUUAUGGAUUUAAGUAAUGAUUUCGACGGGGUUGCGGUGUGUCUGUUGGAUGUGACAAUUCAAGGGGGCAGAAAUUGAAUCUGGCAAUGGAACGUCAAAUUACAGCUUUUCCCAAAGCUUUUCCAGGAGAGCGAUCCAUCAGGUCUGGUCAAACAUCAAUGGCUCCUUCUUUGGCGGAGUCAGGGAGUAGUAUAAUAGUACCACGGCUGCAGCAAUGGACAGCUUGAUUGCUUCAGGUUGUUGCUUGCCGUGCACACGUUCUUCAUCUCGUCGGCAAUGAUUAAUAUUGUCAUUGCCUUUUUAUUAUCGUGCAGUGUCAAUAUUUGAACCCAGAUGGACUGCUUAUAUUCUUUAACUUUGAAUACGAGAGGACGAAAACAUUCCCACACAAAAAUGAGCUACCACUCAACUGGCGAUUGGCUUCCAAACAUUAUUUUUUUUAAAUUUUAUUUCCUUAAUAGAUUUUUAAUAUCUUACUUAAACAAUCUAAUCAGUUUCUUUCAUAAUAAAUUAUUCCUGCUUCGUACUUUGAUUGAAGGUAUGGGUUCAAAUUAAAAAGCAAAGCUUAAAUAAAUCUUAAACAGAAUCACGGAGCAGGUCCAAGCCAUAAAAUAGAAAGGCUAUAAUAUUUGGGCCUGAGACUCUCCGUCGGUUUUUGGGCAGUCCAUAUUCGCCCUCCUACAAAACGUACUUUUCUCUUGCCUGUUUUACCCUUUUUAAUACAAAUCUCUUUUUCUUCCCAAAUUAAAAAAAAAAAAAAAAACAAAUCACUUUUCUUUCUGAAAGUGCAAAUGUCUUUUAGGUCAAGUGCAAUGAUAUAUUUACAAAGUUAAGUAUAAAGUUUGUAUCUUAAAUGAUGCGUCAACUAUAAAUGCAACGUGUUUAUUAAUAGUUGACUUUUUAAGUCAUUACUAAUAAUAUAAUUUUACAGUACAAAUGAAUGAAUGACAUGCCACGUGCCAUUUAAUUUUAUAUACAAGUUUACAUUUUGACUUUGUAAACAUAUAAUAACUUUUGAAAAAAAAAAAUCAUUAUUAUUAGGUGAUAUUGUUACUUUGAUUUCUUACAUAAUGAUAUAAGUUAUAUUAACCACAGAAUUACACCAAACAAGUUAAGUGUAAUUUACUUAAAAGAACUAUGUAUUUAUCUAAUAUAACUAAGUGGUUGAUGUAAGUUACAUUAUUAGGUAGAGGAUAAAUUCCCCUUAACCAAGUCUAACUCAAGUGUUAAUUCAAAUUUCUGAAUUUGUUAAAUUAAUAGGCUGAGAGCUCCAGUUAGAUAGAAAUGUAGAGCUUCAAUUACUUUGUCAGAAUGUAAUCAAUGAAGCAACUUAUUCAAAUGAGGAAGCUCGUUGAAUUUAAAGGGAAAAAAGUAUGAAACAGAGAUUGUAUUACAGAGAACUGAUGGUACCUCUAAACGAGUAAAACACCUUAGCAUAGAUACAACAGUCCUUUAUUUAAAUUUUAUGUGCAUAAGAUAUGAAUGUAUAAUUUUCAAUUUAUCAUCAUGAUUUAUUGAAAGUUUGAAACGCUUGGAAAACUUAGCAUAGAUUUGUUACCUUCAUCAAUAAACUUCAAGUUAUUGUCUACUAUUUCUCUUUGCUGAUCUAAAGCUUUGGUUUCAGAUCUAGAGAACUAUGGUCAUUUGAUUGGUUCUCGCUGGAUCUUUGUUAUAUAUAUACACACAUAUAAAACAUCAAGUGUGUGUAUUAGCCAUGAAUAAAAGCAUGUACUCAGCAUGCGCACAGAUCGGAGCAUUUUCAUGCCCAAAACUAAGCGUAAAUGGCUAUCAAAUUGAGCCGAUAUGCCUUGUGGACUGGUUCAAAAUCACAGCGAUCUCGCUGCAAAAGCUCCAAAUGCAAAGAGGGUUUUAAUUAGGUGACCAAAUAUAUGUGUAAAAUGAGAGGAUAAGGGCAAGAGGAAAAUGUGCUACUACAAGCAACUGGCAAAUUAGGUUCUUUGCUAAACAACUGCAACAACAAUAUGAUCACAGCAAUGCUAAUUUAUAUACACUUUUACGCGAACGAACAAAACAAAACAAAACAAAACAAAACUUGUUUGUACCUUUUUUUUUUUUUUUUUUUUUUUCUUUCUAUUGAUAAUGUUAUAGGUGCUAAUUAAAGUUAAUGAAAUGGUCGAUCCCUGGACUGGUAGGUUGCCAGAGUAGAUUUCGCUUCAGGUAAUAGAGCUUCGAUUGAAGGUUCAGCAACCAAAUGAGCUUGCUUGAAUGACCACUCAAGUACUAUUAGCACCUCCUCUUGUGCAAGUGUCUUACUUUCAGGCUGUUUUAUUGCAAUGUAACAUAGCAACGUCAGUGCAGGAAUUUGAAUCAUUUGUUCACCAAAAUAGACAAGUUGAAUUAAGUGCUUGACACCUCCUGCAUUAAUAAUCGCUUUUGAGUGAGUUUCAGAGAGGUAAUUCUCAGUGGUUGCAAAUUUGUUAAGAGCCACGGUUGCUUCCAUUAUAACCUCAGGUUCCCUUUCAUCAAGCAGAUUCACCAAUGGCCCAAUGAUUCUUGUUUCCGUUGCUCGAAAAGUCCGUGCCAAGUUCCCUAUUGCCCUGAUGCUUGGAAUAAGAAGGUCCGAAUCAGCCUUUUCUACAAUGUGGAGCAACUGUUCAAGCACAGCUUUGGCAGCCGUUGAGGUGGGCUUGAACGCGGAGCGUCUCAAGUCAGAGUUUUUCUCAGCUACAGCUGUGAUUUCCAUCAACGCCAUAGCUGAAAAGUGCUUAACAUCUUCAGGGCCCUUCUCCAACAGGACCGCAAAGCAUAGAAGCGCUCUUGACUCCGUUAAGUUUCGACAUAUCGACAAAUUUCCCUUAGAGAGCUUCCACAAGGCCCUUGCAGCCAUUGCCUUCAUCUGUGCUUUGACCGUGGGGUCCUCUGAUUCCCUCCCUUUAGUACUUGUACCGCCUAAUACUUGCUGGUCUUGGUGUUGGUUGUGAUGGUUCGGUUGCAUCGCGUACAUAUGACUGUCUGGCUGCGCUUGUUGGGCAUUGGUAGGAGCUCUGGUUUUGAUUGCUAUGGUGUUAGUGACCACAUUCGAGAUAGAACUAUUAGCUUGGUUAGGCAUCGGACAAGAAACUUUACUAAUGUUUCCAUUGCCUUGUUGUUGUGGUGGUGCUGUCCUAUGAUCUUUGGGAUUCUGAGAAUUACUGGCUACUAAAGCUGAAUGAAGCGAAGAAAUGUUUUGCUUGCUUGCAAUGGCAUACUUACUAUGUUCUUGAACGGUUUCAAAAGCAAGAUGACUAACAAGAAAGCGAACGAUAUUGUUCUGUGCGAAAUGGUCUUGGCAUUUCGGAUGAUUUGAAGCCAAUUCAGAGACAGCCCAAGCCACCACGGAUUGAACUUUCAUAUGACCGUCCUUGAGGUUUUUGGCAAACGUAGAGCAAACACCGGCAUUCACAAUCUGUUCGACACUUUCGGCGUCGCGUCCUAACAAUCCUAUAGCCCUCGCAGCAUUCUCCUGACCUUCUAAUUCCCCUUCAUAAGCUAGUUUCAGCAGCGGAGGGACGCCACCUUCUUCUAUAAUCAGCUUUCCGUAACGAUCGUUAUCGCGAGCCAAGGAGACCAAUGAUGCAGCAGCAUCGCAUUUCUCUUCCAUUGAACCCGUGUGAAGAAUUGCAAUUUGUUCCCAGAUGAGACACAAGAUAGGCUCAUUGGCUGCAAUUGGAGGAAGACCCAGAUACUCAUCAUCAUUCUCCUCCGAAGAAGCAGACACACGAAUAAGCCACGAGACGUCCCCGAGAGAAUUCUCAAGCUGCAUUAAUGUUUUCCGAAAUGCCGCAGCUGGGAUGAUGGUGAAAACUCUCUUGAGAAUGCCAUUUGCGCGGCAUUUGACAACCAGUUGCAUGGCCUUAUCAAGAACCUGCUCUGUAUCAUCAACGAUCCUGCGCGUUGGACGUUGGUAGCUCACGCUGCUAACACGUGCAACUUGCCGCAACAGCACUGCCAGCUUCUCUGUCUUCGCCUGCAGCUCUUGACAAUCUUGUUUAAACGAUUGUGCCUCGUUUGCUAUCUUGGUGAUGGUGUCCGCUAAUUGUAUGUUCCUCGCCAAAUCUUUCAAAAUCGCCUGGUCCCGGUCCGCCAUGGUCUAACGCGGACCUAAAAGCUAAUAACAAUCGUUGGAUCAAAAUCAAACGCACUUUCAAAAGGGUGAUUUUUUUCCGCCCUUUCCGGUACCUUGUGCUAGAAGGCAACUUUUUUUUUUCUCUUUGGGCGAUGUUUCAGUUAACGGGCCAUUUGGGGUGACUGAAAAUGUGUUUGUGUGCUACCAUGAAGGUGGUGGUGCGGUGGCGCCGCCGCCUUUGAAUUCAGAGACAAUAGAAAGAGAAGAGAAAGGAGAAAGAAUUAGUUCUUGUAAAAUUGAAAGGGUCAAACGAGAUUUUCUGCAAGUUUCAUGUAAAAGAAUAACCGCCAUUCAUUCAUUCAUUCAUAAAAACUUUCUUUGCGUGCGUUAUAUAUAGCAAAAGAGAAAAUGGUUGGUUCCAAAAUAUUAAGAGGAGUUUUUAUUAUCACAAUUGACAAGAAGUAGCGCUUGGUGCCACCCAAACGUAAGUGAUAUAUAUAGUAUGUUCUCUCUUGGGGGAUCGUUGCAUCAGUUAUGACCUGUAAAUUCUUAAUGUAUAAACGGUGUUAUACACGCGCUUGAAUGGAGAUGAAGGAAGGGUUGUUGCCAACGAGUUUCCAGAAAGAUGACCCCCUUUGGCCAUUAUGUUUCUAAAUUCACAAGUCAUAGUGAUGUGAUAAUUUAUCUAUUAAUGUUCUUUCCUUUUUCUUUUUCUUUUACUAUAAAUCCAACUGUAGAUAAAUUCCAACUCCGGUGGAGUUGGAUUAUAUACCUUAAUCACUUAGAAAGUCUUUGGUAAUCUUGGUGUACAUAUCCUCUCCAGUUGAAUAUUUUUUUAUGAGUGUCUUUUUAACUAAUUAUGUAAGGGUAAUAUUACGAUUCAUCUAACCACUGAAAAAAAAUAUAAUUAAAUUAUUUAAAAUAUAACUUGUAUUUAUUAGAUACGUCCCAUAUAAGUUUUUUUUUUUUUU
RNAcentral lists this long non-coding RNA (13126 nucleotides) under Citrus maxima (pomelo). Its description in RNAcentral is "long non-coding RNA (CMAX_LNC003272)". The record is from RNAcentral. Lineage: Eukaryota; Viridiplantae; Streptophyta; Magnoliopsida; Sapindales; Rutaceae.